This 439-nucleotide ribosomal RNA is filed under the name uncultured bacterium. Its description in RNAcentral is "partial 16S ribosomal RNA". It matches the Rfam family "Bacterial small subunit ribosomal RNA", at positions 339 to 795 of the family's 1533-position model. The record is from RNAcentral.
CUACGGGCCGCAGCAGUGAGGAAUAUUGCACAAUGGGGGGAACCCUGAUGCAGCAACGCCGCGUGGAGGAUGACGCAUUUCGGUGUGUAAACUCCUUUUAUAUGUCAAGAAAAUGACGGUAGCAUAUGAAUAAGCACCGGCUAACUCCGUGCCAGCAGCCGCGGUAAUACGGAGGGUGCAAGCGUUACUCGGAAUCACUGGGCGUAAAGGACGCGUAGGCGGGUUGGAAAGUCAGGUGUGAAAUCCUACAGCUUAACUGUAGAACUGCACUUGAAACUUCUAAUCUAGAGUAUGGGAGGGGGAGAUGGAAUUAGUGGUGUAGGGGUAAAAUCCGUGGAUAUCACUAGGAAUACCUAAAGCGAAGGCGAUCUCCCGGAACAUUACUGACGCUAAGGCGUGAAAGCGUGGGGAGCAAACAGGAUUAGAUACCCUAGUAGUC